UACGUAGGUGGCAAGCGUUAUCUGGAUUUAUUGGGCGUAAAGGGAACGCAGGCGGUCUUUUAAGUCUGAUGUGAAAGCCUUCGGCUUAACCGGAGUAGUGCAUUGGAAACUGGGAGACUUGAGUGCAGAAGAGGAGAGUGGAACUCCAUGUGUAGCGGUGAAAUGCGUAGAUAUAUGGAAGAACACCAGUGGCGAAAGCGGCCCUCUGGUCUGUAACUGACGCUGAGGUUCGAAAGCGUGGGUAGCAAACAGG
Molecule: ribosomal RNA, 253 nt
Filed under: uncultured bacterium
Lineage: Bacteria
Description: partial 16S ribosomal RNA
Rfam family: Bacterial small subunit ribosomal RNA
Source: RNAcentral